AGCGUAGACGGUGUGGCAAGUCUGAUGUGAAAGGCAUGGGCUCAACCUGUGGACUGCAUUGGAAACUGUCAUACUUGAGUGCCGGAGGGGUAAGCGGAAUUCCUAGUGUAGCGGUGAAAUGCGUAGAUAUCGGGAGGAACACCAGUGGCGAAGGCGGCCUACUGGGCACCAACUGACGCUGAGGCUGAAAGUGUGGGUAGCAAACA
This 206-nucleotide ribosomal RNA is filed under the name uncultured bacterium. RNAcentral's name for it is "partial 16S ribosomal RNA". It matches the Rfam family "Bacterial small subunit ribosomal RNA", at positions 568 to 774 of the family's 1533-position model. The record is from RNAcentral.